This 363-nucleotide transfer-messenger RNA is filed under the name Escherichia coli. RNAcentral describes it as "Standard tmRNA". It matches the Rfam family "transfer-messenger RNA". Rfam says of the family: Bacterial tmRNA, also known as 10Sa RNA or SsrA, is named for its dual tRNA and mRNA-like properties. Its role is to liberate the mRNA from a stalled ribosome. The record is from RNAcentral. Lineage: Bacteria; Pseudomonadati; Pseudomonadota; Gammaproteobacteria; Enterobacterales; Enterobacteriaceae.
GGGGCUGAUUCUGGAUUCGACGGGAUUUGCGAAACCCAAGGUGCAUGCCGAGGGGCGGUUGGCCUCGUAAAAAGCCGCAAAAAAUAGUCGCAAACGACGAAAACUACGCUUUAGCAGCUUAAUAACCUGCUUAGAGCCCUUUCUCCCUAGCCUCCGCUCUUAGGACGGGGUUCAAGAGAGGUCAAACCCAAAAGAGAUCGCGUGGAAGCCCUGCCUGGGGUUGAAGCGUUAAAACUUAAUCAGGCUAGUUUGUUAGUGGCGUGUCCGUCCGCAGCUGGCAAGCGAAUGUAAAGACUGACUAAGCAUGUAGUACCGAGGAUGUAGGAAUUUCGGACGCGGGUUCAACUCCCGCCAGCUCCACCA